This 72-nucleotide transfer RNA is filed under the name Salmonella phage Arash. It matches the Rfam family "tRNA". Rfam says of the family: Transfer RNA (tRNA) molecules are approximately 80 nucleotides in length. Their secondary structure includes four short double-helical elements and three loops (D, anti-codon, and T loops). The record is from Rfam by way of RNAcentral. Lineage: Duplodnaviria; Heunggongvirae; Uroviricota; Caudoviricetes.
UGGGGUUUAGUUUAGUUGGCAAAACACCGGGCUUUGAUCCCGGUAUCGGGGGUUCGAAUCCCUCAGCCCCUG